UACGUAGGUCCCGAGCGUUGUCCGGAUUUAUUGGGCGUAAAGCGAGCGCAGGUGGUUUAUUAAGUCUGGUGUAAAAGGCAGUGGCUCAACCAUUGUAUGCAUUGGAUACUGGUAGACUUGAGUGCAGGAGAGGAGAGUGGAAUUCCCUGUGUAGCGGUGAAAUGCGUAGAUAUAUGGAGGAACACCGGUGGCGAAAGCGGCUCUCUGGCCUGUAACUGACACUGAGGCUCGAAAGCGUGGGGAGCAAACAGG
RNAcentral lists this ribosomal RNA (252 nucleotides) under uncultured bacterium. Its description in RNAcentral is "partial 16S ribosomal RNA". It matches the Rfam family "Bacterial small subunit ribosomal RNA", at positions 524 to 776 of the family's 1533-position model. The record is from RNAcentral.